AUUGAACGCUGGCGGCAUGCCUUACACAUGCAAGUCGAACGGCAGCGGGCCUUCGGGUGCCGGCGAGUGGCGAACGGUGAGUAAUGCAUCGGAACGUGCCAUUGAGUGGGGGAUAACGUAGCGAAAGUUACGCUAAUACCGCAUAUUCUGUGAGCAGGAAAGCAGGGGACCGCAAAGGCCUUGCGCUCUUUGAGCGGCCGAUGUCAGAUUAGCUAGUUGGUGAGGUAAAGGCUUACCAAGGCGACGAUCUGUAGCGGGUCUGAGAGGAUGAUCCGCCACACUGGAACUGAGACACGGUCCAGACUCCUACGGGAGGCAGCAGUGGGGAAUUUGGACAAUGGGCGCAAGCCUGAUCCAGCCAUGCCGCGUGAGUGAAGAAGGCC
This 383-nucleotide ribosomal RNA is filed under the name uncultured bacterium. RNAcentral describes it as "bacterial SSU rRNA". It matches the Rfam family "Bacterial small subunit ribosomal RNA", at positions 30 to 416 of the family's 1533-position model. The record is from RNAcentral.